Long non-coding RNA from Zalophus californianus (California sea lion), 336 nucleotides. RefSeq lists it as uncharacterized. The record is from RefSeq and is a predicted model, not a curated record. The transcript is spliced from 3 exons. NCBI's taxonomy places the organism in Eukaryota, Metazoa, Chordata, Mammalia, Carnivora, Otariidae.
AAACGUCGGAGGCGGGGGAGGGGGGCCAAGGGAGGUAGAUAGGGUCGUCGAGUCUACGCGGGAUUGAAUAAUUCCAGGAUCAAGGGGGGUAUUUGCCUCUGUGGCUCCCUUUGCCUGGAAGCCUUACCGAGUCCCAUCCAUGCCUUUGGAAGUCCUGAGAAAAUGCUUCAAGCUGGAUCCCAAAUGUCAUCCCCUCAACAGAGCCUUUAAUUGAGCUUUUCAACCCAUUGUGCUUCCUCAAAACGGUUCCUCUUAAAUAUUCUGGGAAGCUACAGGAGAGGAAACACUUUGAGAUGGUGGCUGGAGGUACCAGGACAAGGCAUGCUACCACUUGGU